This 272-nucleotide ribosomal RNA is filed under the name uncultured Lamproderma sp. RNAcentral's name for it is "partial 18S ribosomal RNA". It matches the Rfam family "Eukaryotic small subunit ribosomal RNA", at positions 32 to 271 of the family's 1831-position model. Lineage: Eukaryota; Evosea; Eumycetozoa; Stemonitida. The record is from RNAcentral.
ACGCUUUUUCCUAAAGAUUAAGCCAUGCAUGCCUAAGCCUAGGAGGGUAGCAAUACUCUCAGAAUCUGCGAACGGCUCCGCAAACCAGUUGCAAACUCGAGUAAGCUCGCUUGACCACGGACCCUCACGGGUCCAGGUCAAGCUACAUGGAUAACCCUGGUAAUUCUGAGGCUAAUACAUGACAGUAAGCAAGCUCGGCCAGCAUCAGUUUCCUCGGAAACCGCUGACCGGGUGGACGUGUGAUAAACGGCUUGGGAAACCGUGACAGAACG